Molecule: ribosomal RNA, 303 nt
Filed under: Escherichia coli
Lineage: Bacteria; Pseudomonadati; Pseudomonadota; Gammaproteobacteria; Enterobacterales; Enterobacteriaceae
Description: partial 23S ribosomal RNA
Rfam family: Bacterial large subunit ribosomal RNA
Source: RNAcentral
CAUAGGUUAAUGAGGCGAACCGGGGGAACUGAAACAUCUAAGUACCCCGAGGAAAAGAAAUCAACCGAGAUUCCCCCAGUAGCGGCGAGCGAACGGGGAGCAGCCCAGAGCCUGAAUCAGUGUGUGUGUUAGUGGAAGCGUCUGGAAAGGCGCGCGAUACAGGGUGACAGCCCCGUACACAAAAAUGCACAUGCUGUGAGCUCGAUGAGUAGGGCGGGACACGUGGUAUCCUGUCUGAAUAUGGGGGGACCAUCCUCCAAGGCUAAAUACUCCUGACUGACCGAUAGUGAACCAGUACCGUGA